CCGCCCUCCAACUCUGCUCCCUGGAACUAGGCCAUGAAUCCCCGAGCUUGGUUUGCUUUCACAGUGGGAUGGGUGACCAUAUGACCUGAGUACGUAUCUACCAUUGCUUCUGUACCAUUCAACUUUGUGGAAGAUGUCCUUUCACUCCAUACAUGCAACCCUUCAUUCUCAAGAUUCUGGUGUGAAUUGCAUUAUUAAAGUGGAU
This is a long non-coding RNA of Carcharodon carcharias (great white shark), 205 nucleotides long. RefSeq lists it as uncharacterized. The record is from RefSeq and is a predicted model, not a curated record. The transcript is spliced from 3 exons. NCBI's taxonomy places the organism in Eukaryota, Metazoa, Chordata, Chondrichthyes, Lamniformes, Lamnidae.